Zingiber officinale is the source of this 3462-nucleotide RNA transcript. It is a transcript of the gene named E3 ubiquitin-protein ligase XB3-like, with no coding region annotated. NCBI's taxonomy places the organism in Eukaryota, Viridiplantae, Streptophyta, Magnoliopsida, Zingiberales, Zingiberaceae. The record is from RefSeq and is a predicted model, not a curated record. The transcript is spliced from 9 exons.
AGAAAUUCUUUAUUUGGAAGGGUUUGAACGAUCACUGUGUUUAUCAUUUGAAGAGAGGGAGAGAGAUAGCGCGAUUCACUGGAUCUUUAUCUUCCUCUUCCUCUCCACGUUCCUCCCCCCUCGCCGGCGCUCCGGUCGAUCGGUCGGAGGUAACCGGAGCUCGGAGUGGCAGGGCGGCGAUGGGCCAGGGCGUGAGCUGCGCCAGCUCGAGCUACGAGCACGAGUUCUUCACCGCAGUCCAAGCCGGUGACUUGGCAGCGGUGGACUGCGCCCUGAGCGACGACCCCUCUCUGCUGCUUCGGACCACCAUCUACGAUCGUCUCUCCGCGCUGCACAUCGCCGCCGCCAAUGGCCGCGUCGAGGUUCUAUCUUUGCUCUUGGAUCGAUCUGCGAGUCCCGAUGUCGCUAAUCGAGAUAAACAGACUCCAUUGAUGUUGGCCGCGAUGCACGGGAAGAUCGAGUGCCUGCAAAAGCUUCUUGAUUCGGGAGCAAAUAUCUUAAUGUUCGAUUCAGGACAUGGAAGAACAUGCCUGCACUAUGCUGCGUAUUAUGGUCACUCAGAUUGUUUGCAAUCGAUUUUGCUGGCGGCCAAAUCCGCACCAGUCGCCGGUUCUUGGGGAUUCGCUCGAUUUGUCAACCUGAGAGAUGGCUCAGGGGCGACGCCGCUGCACCUCGCUUCCAGGCAAAGACGGCCCAACUGUGUUCAUACUCUCUUGGACAGCGGAGCUCUCGUUGGUUCUUCGACUGGCCGAUACGGUUUUCUCGGCAGCACUCCGCUUCACUUGGCAGCUCGCGGGGGAAGUUUGGACUGCAUCCGUGAAUUGCUCGCGCGAGGUGCUGAUCGGCUUCAGAGAGAUGCAUCUGGGAGGCUACCGUACGAGGUUGCACUGAAGCAGAAUCAUGCAACAUGCGCAGCUCUACUUGACCCGUCUGCAGCAGAUCCUCUGGUUUGGCCCUCUUCAUUGAAGUUCAUUAGCGAACUUAAUCUAGAGGCCAAAGCUCUACUGGAGGCAGCUCUGGUGGAGGGUAACAGACAAAGAGAGCUAAAGAUCCUGAAAGCAGCAAAUCAAUCUUUGACAUCUCUUGCUCGUUCAGAUAUAGCAUCUGAUGAUGAUAUUUCAGAGGAUGGCGAUGCGAAGCUGUGCUCCAUCUGCUUCGACAGAGCUUGCACCAUGGAGGUCCAAGACUGCAAGCAUCAGAUGUGUGCCCAUUGCGUUCUUGCCUUGUGCUGCCAUAGCAAGCCCAACCCCACAACCUUGUGCUUGCCAUCGCCUGCCUGCCCCUUUUGCCGCACCGGCAUCUCAAAGCUGGUCAUCGCCAAUGCCAAGGAUGGCGAAGAGCAGGGUGACGUCUCGCACAGGCUGCCAAGGACCCAGAAUUGCACCGAGGGCAGCAGUAGCUUCAGAGAUCUGUCUUCAGCUAUGGGUUCAUUUGGAAACAUAGAAAUAACUACUGAUAGCAGGGAUAUGGUGAACAAGCUUUAGAUCUCACUGCAUAAAAAAACAAGGCUAGUGAAGCAUGAAGAAAGAACUGAUGGGAAUUGGUGAUUCAAUGUACAAGUGCACACUAAUUGAGAGGUGUUUUGGACGUUGGCUAUCAUAUUGGAGACACAUAGACGGUGGGAUCUCUUAUUUUAAUAAGCAUGUGGAGCCUUGGUCUCUGGCUUCUUUGGCAGUGUCUACUCAUAUCAUUUCACUUGGUAAGAUCACCUCAAACUCUAUUUUCUUUCCAAGUAAAUACCUGAACGGAAGUAGUAAGUGUGGAAGAGUAGCUUCUACUAAUUCAGAUUUUGGUUGGAUUGUGUCAGCUUGAUAUUGAAAUGGCGUGUAGUUGUUGUACCCAUUUCAGAGUGAAGAAGUGGUUGUGGGAAGUUGAGAUAGUUUGAUGAAUGCUUUGGUUCAACGAGUCCACUUUAAUCACCUUCCAAUUCGACCAGUCCCUAUCGAGCCGAUACCCUAAGAAUAAAAAAAUUUACUUUUUAGUCAGUGUAAUUCUUAACCUUUGGUAGGAUUGGCAGAUUCAGAUUAGGAGUUGUCCUUCUCUUCCUGAUUCACUUAAAUAAUGCAGAGAUUUUGUAAAGAUUCAAUCACAGAUCUACCAAACUGGUUGGUAAGCUCUCAUUUUCAUUAUUUAUUUUUCUUGAGUUAAUUACCAAUUUUAUAUGAAAAUUUUAAAUUGUCAUUAACUUUUAAUAUUAAAAGGAGAAUUUGAAUGGGUACAAUUACCAAAAAUCUUUGCAAGAACAUGAACCAUCUCUAAAAUGAUGGAACCUCUUAUUGUCUCUCACGAUAAUUUCCCGCUCUACCACUUUCGAAAGCAACUUGGCUGUGUUAUGGCAGUCUCUGCAUAUCCUUAUGUUCUUGCACACCCUAAUUUUCGUGUUUCCAUUCGUCUUCAACAGCCCGAAAGCUAUCGCUUGUUUCUCGCUAUGGCCUUGCAAUAUCUUAAGCUUCUCCUUCUCGUUCAACUCAUGUAACACUACACUAGUGUCGGGAACAUAUCCAAUUGUCCUCAACUUCUCCUCGAGAACACACCACAUUCUAUGAAUGUCAUCGGAUUCUGGAAGUUGAUUAUCACCCGAAACAAAGUUGUAAACUCGACCACCCACAUCGAUCCAACUAAAACCAGGGUCCUUGUAGAGGUCCAUCUCUUUCAUUCGGUGUCUAAUUCUUCGAACGCAAUCCCACCUCUCUUGGCUUGCAAAGAGGUUCGACGCCAAAACAUAAUGCUCAGAUCUCUGUGGCUCCAAAUCUAACAGUUUCUCAGCAACUUUCUCCCCCAAACAUAUGUCACCAUGAGUUCUGCACGCUGCAAGCAAUGCACUCCAGAUUCUGCCAUCAGGUUCUUCAGGCAUCUCUUCGAUGAUUGUUAAUGCUUCCGCCAACUUCCCUACACGCCCAAGCAUGUCUGCAACACACGCAUAGUGUUCCAACUUUGGAUCGAUACCGUGCUUGUUUUUCAUCUCCUCGAAGUAGCCCAAUCCUUCUUCCACCAAUCCUGUAUGAUUGCAUGCCAUUAAAAUGCCGACAUAGGUGAAUGCAUCAGGCUUCAACCCUUGUGCUUCCAUCAUUUUGUAUAGUUGUAUUGCUUCGUGCCCGAGGCCAUUGAUAGCGUAUCCAGUGAUCAUCACAGUCCAUGAGACCACAUCUUUGUUCUUUAUGUUGCCAAAGAAGGUCCGGGCUUGCUCCACGGCACCACAUUUCGCAUACAUAUCGAUUACUGAACUGCUAAGGAAGGUAUCCUCUGCAAAGCCAUUCUUCAGUGCAUAGCAAUGUGCCUCUUGCCCUAACCGCAAGGCAGAUAGUUCAGAGCAAGCCGUGAAGGCACUGGUGGUUGCGAAAAUUGUAGGUCCAUGUCUGUCAUGCUGCAUUUGGCGAAAAAGCUCGAGGCAUUCCAAUGGAAGUCCAUUCUGACAGUAGCCAGCAAGCAUGGCAUUCCACGAGACAGAAUCGUUAACCUCCA